CAUCAUUAACAUCAUAUUCAUCACAUCAUAUACAUUCAUACAAUAAUUCAUCAAUGAUAAACAACAUCAUAUAACAACAUAAUCAUCACAUCAUAGACAUCAUCAUAUAACAACAUAAACAACAACGAUUAAUAAAUAUUAAUAUUUCACAUAGUUCUUCGUUAACAACUCAUUGAUAAAUGACAACUUAACGACAACGACAAUGCGACAUCAGCGACUUCGACUUGACAAUGCAACUACAACUUCUUAAUCAUGCAUGUGGUACCAACCAGGGCAUUAAGUCCUCAACAUAA
Molecule: long non-coding RNA, 293 nt
Filed under: Medicago truncatula (barrel medic)
Lineage: Eukaryota; Viridiplantae; Streptophyta; Magnoliopsida; Fabales; Fabaceae
Description: long non-coding RNA (MTRU_LNC005733)
Source: RNAcentral